CCUACGGGAGGCAGCAGUGGGGAAUAUUGCACAAUGGGGGAAACCCUGAUGUAGCGACGCCGCGUGAGUGAAGAAGUAUUUCGGUAUGUAAAGCUCUAUCAGCAGGGAAGAAAAUGACGGUACCUGAUGAAGAAGCCCCGGCUAACUACGUGCCAGCAGCGGCGGGAAUACGUAGGGGGCAAGCGUUAUCCGGAUUUACUGGGUGUAAAGGGAGCGUAGACGGCAGCACAAGUCUGGAGGGAAAUGCCGGGGCUUAACCCCGGAACUGCUUUGGAAACUGAGCAGCUAGAGUGCAGGAGAGGUAAGUGGAAUGCCUGGUGUAGCGGUGAAAUGCGUAGAUAUUAGGAGGAACACCAGUGGCGAAGGCGGCUUACUGGACUGUAACUGACGUUGAGGCUCGAAAGCGUGGGGAGCAAACAGGAUUAGAUACCCGUGUAGUC
This 440-nucleotide ribosomal RNA is filed under the name uncultured bacterium. RNAcentral describes it as "partial 16S ribosomal RNA". It matches the Rfam family "Bacterial small subunit ribosomal RNA", at positions 338 to 795 of the family's 1533-position model. The record is from RNAcentral.